Molecule: ribosomal RNA, 661 nt
Filed under: uncultured fungus
Lineage: Eukaryota; Fungi
Description: eukaryotic LSU rRNA
Rfam family: Eukaryotic large subunit ribosomal RNA
Source: RNAcentral
UCAAAUCAGGUAGGACUACCCGCUGAACUUAAGCAUAUCANUAAGCGGAGGAAAAGAAACUANCAAGGAUUCCCCUAGUAACUGCGAGUGAAGCGGGAAAAGCUCAAAUUUAAANUCUGGUAGUCUUUGGCUGCCCGAGUUGUAAUCUAGAGAAGUGUUAUCCGCGCUGGACCGUGUACAAGUCUCCUGGAAUGGAGCGUCAUAGAGGGUGAGAAUCCCGUCUUUGACACGGGCUGCCAGGGCUUUGUGAUGCGCUCUCAAAGAGUCGAGUUGUUUGGGAAUGCAGCUCUAAAUGGGUGGUAAAUUCCAUCUAAAGCUAAAUAUUGGCGAGAGACCGAUAGCGAACAAGUACCGUGAGGGAAAGAUGAAAAGAACUUUGGAAAGAGAGUUAAACAGUACGUGAAAUUGUUGAAAGGGAAACGCUUGAAGUCAGUCGCGUUGGCCGGGGAUCAACCUUGCUUUUCUGCUUGGUGUACUUCCUGGUUGAUGGGUCAGCAUCAAUUUUGACCAGUGGAAAAAGGUCAGGGGAAUGUGGCAUCUUCGGAUGUGUUAUAGCCCUUGGUUGCAUACAUUGGUUGGGAUUGAGGAACUCAGCACGCCGCAAGGCCGGGUUUUUACCACGUUCGUGCUUAGGAUGCUGGCAUAAUGGCUUUAAUCGACC